UACGUAGGGUCCGAGCGUUAAUCGGAAUUACUGGGCGUAAAGCGUGCGCAGGCGGUUUUGUAAGCCAGAUGUGAAAGCCCCGGGCUUAACCUGGGAAUGGCAUUUGGGACUGCAAGGCUGGAGUACGGCAGAGGGAGGUGGAAUUCCAGGUGUAGCGGUGAAAUGCGUAGAUAUCGGGAGGAACACCAGUGGCGAAGGCGAGUCUCUGGGAUGAUGCUGACGCUGAGGCGCGAAAGCCAGGGGAGCAAACGGG
Molecule: ribosomal RNA, 253 nt
Filed under: uncultured bacterium
Lineage: Bacteria
Description: partial 16S ribosomal RNA
Rfam family: Bacterial small subunit ribosomal RNA
Source: RNAcentral